GCAAUGGUGGUUCAGCGGUAGAACUCUCACCUUUGACGGGGAAGACCCAGGGUCAAUUCCUGGCCAGUGCA
This 71-nucleotide transfer RNA is filed under the name Loxodonta africana (African savanna elephant). It matches the Rfam family "tRNA". From Rfam's summary of the family: Transfer RNA (tRNA) molecules are approximately 80 nucleotides in length. Their secondary structure includes four short double-helical elements and three loops (D, anti-codon, and T loops). Lineage: Eukaryota; Metazoa; Chordata; Mammalia; Proboscidea; Elephantidae. The record is from Rfam by way of RNAcentral.